This 379-nucleotide long non-coding RNA is filed under the name Sinocyclocheilus anshuiensis. RNAcentral describes it as "lncRNA (ENSSANG00000035481.1)". Lineage: Eukaryota; Metazoa; Chordata; Actinopteri; Cypriniformes; Cyprinidae. The record is from RNAcentral.
AAUAAAACCCACACAUGCUCUUGACUUCAUGAGAUUCACCCUAAAAGAAUUGCAAAGAUACUGAUAUUACUGUCAUUUUCCAUGGCUGCAAUCAGCAUGCACACACAUGCACUGUAAAUGCAUGACCAGUAGCUGAUCUGCCGUCUCUGUACGUAGGUGUGGGGACUUUAGGGGUCUCUGCUGCACAGGCCAAAGCUGCUAAAUAUGGUACUGGAGCUGGAUUUGGUGGGGCUGGAGCUUUUCCGGGUGGUGCUGGUGGACUUUACCCUGGUAUAGGAGUUGGUUUAGGUGGUGUUGGAGCAGGUGGUGCUGGUGGAGUUUACACAGGGGCAGGAGGUGAAAAAUAAUUUUGCUAAAGAAUGGUUUAGGAGCUGCAAUC